RNAcentral lists this long non-coding RNA (4876 nucleotides) under Taeniopygia guttata (zebra finch). RNAcentral's name for it is "lncRNA (ENSTGUG00000026679.1)". Lineage: Eukaryota; Metazoa; Chordata; Aves; Passeriformes; Estrildidae. The record is from RNAcentral.
UCUGUAAAAGAAUAUUCUUUAUUGGAAUAGAGUGGCAGUAUGACAAUUCAUUAUGUGAAUAUCGAGUCUACAUAUUUAUUUACAUAUAAUCUGACACUUCAGAGUAAACAAUAAUAGCAUUUGCUAUUAUGCUCAACAUGAAAAUCACAGUUUAUAAAAGAGAAAUAGACUUACUGAAUAAUUUAGAAUUUUCAUAUAAAGGGCAAACACAUUCUGGUAGAUAAUACUGCAUAAUGACUAUUUCAACAGCUGUUCAUGUGAAUUUCAAGUAACAAGCAGUCUAAUCCGAGUUCAGUGCCAGCAGGUGAGCUGUCAGCAGAACUUCUCCAAGGCCAGAUGGAGCUUUCCAGGUCUACACAAAGAACUGACCCAACCAGAGCCAUCUUUGUAUCAGUGGAGAAAGCCAGGCUCAGUAAUUUCCAGGAUACUGACUACUGCACUGUGGCACAGAAAGUACCCUGUUCAUGUAAGACAGAUAACAUGUGAAAACUGACUGAUGCAUCUGGAAAUCAUCACUAUUUAGCAUUUGCAGUAAGACAGCGCUUCUACAUGCCAAACAAGAUCACUCUCAACCAUGCACUGUGUAAUUCACCCGUGGAUAUUCUGCACAGCAGUUCCAUGCCAGAGCAGCCCUUCUGGCUCUCCCAGCUCUGAUGUGGUGCAGAUCUGUAUCCUGAAAACAGCCUGCUGGAAAGUGAUGAGCGAACCUGCUGGGGCUCCCCACUACUCUCACUCAAGAGAUGAAGUCCAGCUCAGCAUCCUCAGCUGUCAGGGAUCACAGAAUGUUUUAUAAAUACAUGGUGAAGGAGUGGACAGUUAAUGUACUAUCCAGCAGUCCUUUUGUGACUUUCUUCAAAAAUAGCUUUAAUCUCACUUACGUGAAAUGAAUGUAAAACUCUGUAUAUGAAUGGAAGUUUUUAAAGUCUGGUAAUUGUUAAAUGUUAAUUUGCAAGCCUGAGGGAUCAAAUAAUUGUUGACUUUUACCUUAGAAUCAAGUAGUUAUGAUACUCUCUGCUGGAACGAAAGAAUCACCAAAAGCCAAAUAAAACUUGAAUUUAAUAAAUGAAAACAUCUUCACUAAUAUCUUGCAAAAAAAGCGAUACCAGUCAGUAUAUAUCUUCCUCAACAAGUAAAAGGUCAUAUCAGAUCACUGAAGUGAAAGGCAAUGUACUGCACUGUACAGGAGAUGUGACAGCAACAUUAGCUGUUACAAAACAUCUUUCCCCAAAUGAAAACUGUACAAAAACAAAAACAAAAAAAAAAAGAAAGAAAGAAAAAAAGAAAACCAAAUAUCACUCUAAACUUGGCGUACUGAAGACAUGACUAAAGCAAGCUUUUUGGAAAGAAAGGUUUCAUAAAGUGAUCUUCUGUUUAGAAUUCCACUAUUAAAUGCCAAUAUUUAUGUAUUUAUGCAUUUCAUGUUUUCCCAAGAUUCUAUUAUGUGUUUUUCUGUUUUACACUUUUAGAAGUCACAAAAGCUCAAGAGGAGAAUCAAGCAGUUCUUCAAGUGAUUGCCAACGUGAUCACAAAGGGAGGACAUCUUGAGGAGAUCAGUAAGGGCUUUUCAGUCUUAACCUCACUAAAGUCCACUUUUGCCUUGUGUAUUCACAAACUAAAGAAACCCUGCAGAAAGAUCAAGGGCAGCAAAGACAAGGUCAAACCGUCUAUGAGGUGGCACAGCUAUUCCUGGCUGCAAUGCAUGUUUUUUUCACAUGAAAGGUAAAAUACAAAUGUAAAAUGUAUCGUACCUUCCUGCAGCUAAUUAUUAAGAAAUACAGGAAGAAUACAACCAUAGACAAACUCUAAACAUGCCACUUAAAAUGCCAGCGUCUUUCAAGCUGCCUGUAUAUCAUUGACCUAAGUGGCCUCACCACUUUUAAUGAGUGACUUGGGGAUGUUUCUUGUACAGAAAGAACACAAAGUAUGUCAUUGUAAUUCUGCAAGUGAAAUAAUUUACAUAUGUAUCAAUUUUGUACUGCAUUACACUGAAAAAUAUUGUUAAUGGAGAUUUGCUGUGCAGAUGUGUAAUUUUGAAUUUAGAAGAGACUCGUGGGAAUAUGAUUUAAUAUUCUUAUUUAGACUUUCCUUGGAUACCGUCAGGAAAAUAUAUGCAGGAUUUACUAAUGAGAAGUGUGUAUGCAUAUACCUGGUACUGCUUUAAGGAGCAUUUAAGGGCCUCAUUGUUACUGAAAAAGUAAUACUUUUCUCAAUAAUGAAAAAGCAGUAAAUUGUUCACUUCCAAGCUCUUUUGUACAUGCACAGAUGCUGCAGUUCUGUCAGGUUUUCAGAACAUCCACAGGCAUUGUAUGUUAAAAUAUUGCGAAAUUAGGGUUUUUCCUUUCUGACCUUCCUGAUCUUCUAAUACAGAUGCCAUUUCGUACAGUGUCCCUUUAAAGAAACAAAGUCAAGGACUGUGCAUACUCAUUAGCAAUUGUGAAUGACAGGAGUCACCAGCUUGUGAGAAGAACUGCAGCUCCUGAAAGACUCAAAUAAAGAAGAUUUACUGAGGUUAGGGGGAGAACAAUGAAAAUUAGUUUGUAAUGGUACUUUAUAAUACUGUAGGUUAAACGCAAUGCAUAUUCUGUGUUUUUAAUUUUUCUGAGUGAAAUGUAAACCAAAGGUCUUCUCAAAAGAAGAAGAAGUGUUUAUUGAGAAGGUGAGGUAAAGUGCAAAAUGAACAAAAAUUAUAUGAAAAAAUUGUUGUUGUAACUAUUAGUUUUCUGAGCUUUUUUUUUACCCUUGAGAAACCAUUGAGUUUUAAAGUUCUGAGCUAAACUUACUUACAUGUUUUUUGUCAACAAGACAAUGUAUAAAUACACUUUUAUAUGUAUUAAACCAUUUCAAGAUUUUCUUUUUAAAUGCCAGUGUCCUACAAUGCAUUCACUUUGAUGUUAUAAUAAAAUAUACAGUAGAUAAUUUGUCUGCAGCUGAAUUCACAGAUGUUGCAGAAGUGAAGAGGGGCAUCAGUCAAACUGCAGGACACAAUGGCUGUCCUUGCCAUUCCCUAGGCUAAGAAGUGGAAGAAGCACACUAGCAGUGCCAGGGAGGUAUGCCUCCAGCAGUGAGGUGAGGUAUGAAAGCUCCUAUGCUACUGCGUGUUGCUGACAGCAAAUGUGGGAGGAGGAAGGUAGUGCCUAUUUCUGUGGGGAUGGGUGUCCUGAUGUGGAUUUAUAUACCUGACAUGUCAUUACAUAGGCUCUUACUCUAUCCACAGUGGAGAGAACACAAGUUAAUGUCCUUUCUUCUAAAAUGUAAGCCAAACAUACUAAUCUGAGUAGUGACAAAGGUCAAAUUCACUUAGAAAGGAAAUGGGAAGUUCUGUAUUUUCUUAGCAUAUUAGCAUGUUAGGGUGCUGCAGUUAUUAAUGCAUACUGUGUUUAAAAUAGAUAUAGAUUAAAAAGCAGUUAUCAACUGCAGAGUAAAACUCUUCAUCAUUUUUGUUGGCAUCCUGAGUUUCCCUUCCUUGAUUUCUUCACCUUCCUCAGACUGGGGUCUGGGAUUGCUGUCUAAUGUUAGCCUGUUCUUUCAUCAUACUGCAAAUCCUAUGAGCUUUACCUGUAGAUUAAAUAAGGCUUGAAGAACCAUUAUAGAUCUGCAGUACCUCUGAUCUCUUCUGUCCACUGUAUUCCAGAUGAGACCUUGUGGAAAGAAGUCCCAGCUGUCUGCAAGCAAAGUCAGAACAGUUCACUGUGCUGGUUGUGCUGAAAACUGCAAAUGAGGGUCUCUUACUGUUUUCAGUGAUAAUUCACUUUCUUACCUAGAACCAAAUGAACAUAACUUCUGAUAACUUAAAAAUUCACUAGGGUUGAGUUUUUGGGAUUUUGCUGUUGACAGGAGAAUUAAGAUCACUUAUUAGUGACCAGCAAUCCUUGCAAGAGUAAGAUCACUACCCAUUGACAGGAUACUUUAAUAAGCUUUUUGAUCUUUUACCAAACAAAAGUAAUUAGGGUUAUAGGAGUUUAUAACUUCCUUUGGAGGAACAUCUAUAUACACAGAGUGCCAAACCUGAUUAGUUUUUUUCUUAUAUCAGAAGACUUUAAGAGAAAUUUUUCUUUAAUAUGCAUUAAUUAUUAUCAGCAAAUUGUGUUAUGGUGACAUGAUUGUCAACCUGCUUUUCAAAGGAUGCAAGGCUUAUAUUUACUAAAAUUAUGUGUAAGACAUAAUGCCCAAGAGUAUAUGAGAUUGACCUUGCUUAUGCAAAGACCGUGUAGGCAUUGCUAUCUACAGAUACACACCUUAUAAGUAUCCUGGGAUGUGGUACUCAAAGUUAUACCUAACACUGUCAAAUAAUUUUAAUUUUGCAUUUUUUUUUGAAAGAGCUAGUGGUCAGAUAUACGCUCUAAUAUUUGAUACAUGGAUAAUGUAAGAAUGAAAAUUGAUGUGGUACCUGUAAUUUACAGGAGAAAACACUUGUAAUGCUGGCGAGGCGCCGUGGUCGGACAGUCAGCCUGCUGAGCUCGGGCCUGCCUGGACCUCGCCUGCUCUCGUCGGGCCAGACGGGCCCGCACGCCCCGCUCAGGGCGAGCUGCAGGGCCCAUCCCAGGCGACUCCCAUUUCCCCGUAUUUCAUCCGGACGGUGAAAAGCCCCGCUGCCUACUGCCAAUCUGAGGUCCAAGCAAAAACGUUUUGUUUCCCUAACCUCGGGACCCAAUACUCCGGCUACCACGUGUUUCCUCUUGUCACUGCCCGGUGGGAGGGCUGCGGCUGAGCCCCUGCGCUUGUGAAAGGGGCUGGGAGGGGAUGCACUUGGGCAGGCGGGAGGCGCAGCGGCUCGGCAGGUUUCGGGUCCGCUCCGUCACCACCGCCUGGCUCCGGCGCGGCGGCAGCAUUUUCUAGCGCUCUUUUGACAGGAAAGUCAGGGUAUUUUAACAGGAAA